CCUACGGGGGGCAGCAGUGGGGAAUAUUGGACAAUGGGGGGAACCCUGAUCCAGCCAUGCCGCGUGUGUGAAGAAGGCCCUCGGGUUGUAAAGCACUUUCAGUGAGGAAGAACGCCUGGUGGUUAAUACCCAUCAGGAAAGACAUCACUCACAGAAGAAGCACCGGCUAACUCCGUGCCAGCAGCCGCGGUAAUACGGAGGGUGCGAGCGUUAAUCGGAAUUACUGGGCGUAAAGCGCGCGUAGGUGGCUUGAUAAGCCGGUUGUGAAAGCCCCGGGCUCAACCUGGGAACGGCACCCGGAACUGUCAAGCUAGAGUGCAGGAGAGGAAGGUAGAAUUCCCGGUGUAGCGGUGAAAUGCGUAGAGAUCGGGAGGAAUACCAGUGGCGAAGGCGGCCUUCUGGACUGACACUGACACUGAGGUGCGAAAGCGUGGGUAGCAAACAGGAUUAGAUACCCUGGUAGUC
Molecule: ribosomal RNA, 465 nt
Filed under: Vreelandella stevensii
Lineage: Bacteria; Pseudomonadati; Pseudomonadota; Gammaproteobacteria; Oceanospirillales; Halomonadaceae
Description: partial 16S ribosomal RNA
Rfam family: Bacterial small subunit ribosomal RNA
Source: RNAcentral